Non-coding RNA from Callithrix jacchus (white-tufted-ear marmoset), 1193 nucleotides. NCBI's taxonomy places the organism in Eukaryota, Metazoa, Chordata, Mammalia, Primates, Cebidae. The record is from RefSeq and is a predicted model, not a curated record.
UUUAAAUACAUUAUUUAAGAAGAGACAAGGAAAAACAGAUGAAGGGAUGAUUUGUGUGACAUUUCAGGGUGGCAGAAAAGGCAACAAGGAGAGCUGGAAUUGACCUGACUCCUUGUGGGAAAUACUUCAGUGAUGGAUGGAAGCCUAGGGGAGAGAGGACCACAAUGAAGGCAGGAGGUAAAAGAGGGCUGAAAUGUUUGGUUCUGAGGAUUUGUGAUUGUCAUUCACUCACACGGACUGAACUCUCACUUGCCUGUCUUCCUGGGGCUUGUGUAAGAACAUCCUGCAGAAAAAUUUCUGCCAAUGAGAUAUAGAGACAAGUCUACUGAGACUGGCUUCCUUUCACCAACAGAAAGACAAAGCCCUUCAAGGAGAAGUCUUUAGGCCUAAUUGCCUCAUUUUUUCCUGGAACAUGGGUGUGAUUUCUAAAGGUACACCAGCCACUGCAGGGCUCUGUUCAUGAAGUUAUGGAUGCUCACUUGUGCAAAGUUAAGGGGCCACGUCUGUUGAGGACCUACUUGCUGGUGGGGAUCCUCUGAAGAGUACUGAGGCAGCAGAGGACAUCACAUGCAUCACUAGCAAACUUUGCAUGAAUGCAAAAGGCCUUUCAGUUACUGCAGUUGUGAAGCAGUGGCACAUAAGGGAAGUUUCCUUCCCUUUGGGGAAUCAUAAAUAAAAUAGUGGUGUAAUCAAAGGACAGAAGAAAAAAGAGACUUCAGACAGAUUUCUUCCAAGUCACCAGUGGGAGCUUCCCAGGGAGAUGCGGCUUUAUUCCCUCAUGGCAGACAGGAGGAGGAUGCUGCGCGGGAGCUGAUGCCACCUGGCAGCGAUGGUAGCACAGACUGCUGGAGAGGCACAGAUUGGAACCCAAGCCUCAUCAGACGGCAGCUGUGACAGCGGCAUAUUUCAAAAAUGUAUUGCAAAUUUCACACAAGGGGUCUUUAAAAUAAUUUGAAAAUCUCCUUGGCUUUUGCAGACUUUAAAUUCAGAGAGAACACCUCUUCUUUGAAAAUCAAAACAAUUUUUGCUUAUUUUAUGUAUCUGAAGGUAGAUAGGAACUUACAGCCAUGUUUAAAAAAUUUGCAGUUGAUUAUGCAGUUUUUGAAUUUAAUAAGCUACUAUGAAUAAUUAACUUCUUAAGAAGAAGAAAAGGGCACGUUGGCACCUCACAAUUAAAAGAAUAAGAAUGAAAU